AUCCAUGUGAAAAGUGUUAGCGUUUGG
RNAcentral lists this non-coding RNA (27 nucleotides) under Bombyx mori (domestic silkworm). Lineage: Eukaryota; Metazoa; Arthropoda; Insecta; Lepidoptera; Bombycidae. The record is from RNAcentral.